This 465-nucleotide ribosomal RNA is filed under the name uncultured bacterium. RNAcentral describes it as "bacterial SSU rRNA". It matches the Rfam family "Bacterial small subunit ribosomal RNA", at positions 338 to 795 of the family's 1533-position model. The record is from RNAcentral.
CCUACGGGGCGCAGCAGUGGGGAAUAUUGCACAAUGGGCGCAAGCCUGAUGCAGCCAUGCCGCGUGUGUGAAGAAGGCCUUCGGGUUGUAAAGCACUUUCAGUCGUGAGGAAGGUAGUGUAGUUAAUAGCUGCAUUAUUUGACGUUAGCGACAGAAGAAGCACCGGCUAACUCCGUGCCAGCAGCCGCGGUAAUACGGAGGGUGCGAGCGUUAAUCGGAAUUACAGGGCGUAAAGCGCAUGCAGGUGGUUUGUUAAGUCAGAUGUGAAAGCCCGGGGCUCGACCUCGGAAUAGCAUUUGAAACUGGCAGACUAGAGUACUGUAGAGGGGGGUAGAAUUUCAGGUGUAGGGGUGAAAUGCGUAGAGAUCUGAAGGAAUACCGGUGGCGAAGGCGGCCCCCUGGACAGAUACUGACACUCAGAUGCGAAAGCGUGGGGAGCAAACAGGAUUAGAUACCCGUGUAGUC